UACGGGGGGAGCAAGCGUUGUUCGGAUUUACUGGGCGUAAAGGGCGCGUAGGCGGCGCAACAAGUCACUUGUGAAAUCCCCGGGCUCAACCCGGGAACUGCGUCCGAGACUGAAAGGCUAGAAUCCGGGAGAGGGAUGUGGAAUUCCAGGUGUAGCGGUGAAAUGCGUAGAUAUCUGGAGGAACAUCGGUGGCGAAGGCGGCAUCCUGGACCGGUAUUGACGCUGAGGCGCGAAAGCCAGGGGAGCAAACGGG
This 253-nucleotide ribosomal RNA is filed under the name uncultured bacterium. Its description in RNAcentral is "partial 16S ribosomal RNA". It matches the Rfam family "Bacterial small subunit ribosomal RNA", at positions 524 to 776 of the family's 1533-position model. The record is from RNAcentral.